AUGAACGCUGGCGGCGUGCCUAAUACAUGCAAGUCGAGCGAACAGACGAGGAGCUUGCUCCUCUGACGUUAGCGGCGGACGGGUGAGUAACACGUGGAUAACCUACCUAUAAGACUGGGAUAACUUCGGGAAACCGGAGCUAAUACCGGAUAAUAUAUUGAACCGCAUGGUUCAAUAGUGAAAGACGGUUUUGCUGUCACUUAUAGAUGGAUCCGCGCCGCAUUAGCUAGUUGGUAAGGUAACGGCUUACCAAGGCGACGAUGCGUAGCCGACCUGAGAGGGUGAUCGGCCACACUGGAACUGAGACACGGUCCAGACUCCUACGGGAGGCAGCAGUAGGGAAUCUUCCGCAAUGGGCGAAAGCCUGACGGAGCAACGCCGCGUGAGUGAUGAAGGUCUUCGGAUCGUAAAACUCUGUUAUUAGGGAAGAACAAAUGUGUAAGUAACUAUGCACGUCUUGACGGUACCGAAUCAGAAAGCCACGGCUAACUACGU
RNAcentral lists this ribosomal RNA (495 nucleotides) under uncultured bacterium. RNAcentral's name for it is "partial 16S ribosomal RNA". It matches the Rfam family "Bacterial small subunit ribosomal RNA", at positions 29 to 506 of the family's 1533-position model. The record is from RNAcentral.